Molecule: ribosomal RNA, 548 nt
Filed under: Melinna cristata
Lineage: Eukaryota; Metazoa; Annelida; Polychaeta; Terebellida; Melinnidae
Description: partial 16S ribosomal RNA
Rfam family: Bacterial large subunit ribosomal RNA
Source: RNAcentral
AAAACAUUGCCUCACGAAAAAUAAUGAGAGGUCCAUCCUGCCCAGUGACCUACGGGUUUAACGGCCGCGGUACCCUGACCGUGCUAAGGUAGCGUGAUAAAUCGCCCUUUAAUUGUGGGCUCGUAUGAAAGGACAAACGAAAGCUAUACUGUCUCCUAGUAAAAAAUUGAAAUUGUCAUUCAGGUGAAGAGACCUGACUUCCUUCAAAGGACAAGAAGACCCCGUAGAGCUUAAUAUUACAACCAUUUAUAAAAAUAAAUAUACAUAUAAUAUAUUAUCUCUAUACAUGAUACAAUAUUUAGCUGGGGCGGCUAAGGAAAAUAAAUCUUCCAUUUAACUCAUAUAUUUGGCAUUACAUGCCUAACUAAUAAUUGACCCUUUUUAAGAUCAGAGAAUACAGCUACCUCGGGGAUAACAGAUUAAUCCUUCUUGAGAGUUCACAUUGACAGAAGGGAUUGACACCUCGAUGUUGGCUUAGGGUAUCCUAUAGAUCUGCAGCAGUCUAUAAUGGUAGGUUUGUUCAACCUUUAAAACCCUACGUGAUCUGA